GGAUGGGUGGCCGAGCGGUUUAAGGCACCGGUCUUGAAAACCGGCGUAGGGGCGACCCUACCGUGGGUUCGAAUCCCACCCCAUCCG
This 87-nucleotide transfer RNA is filed under the name Magnetospirillum moscoviense. It matches the Rfam family "tRNA". From Rfam's summary of the family: Transfer RNA (tRNA) molecules are approximately 80 nucleotides in length. Their secondary structure includes four short double-helical elements and three loops (D, anti-codon, and T loops). The record is from Rfam by way of RNAcentral. Lineage: Bacteria; Pseudomonadati; Pseudomonadota; Alphaproteobacteria; Rhodospirillales; Rhodospirillaceae.